Molecule: long non-coding RNA, 208 nt
Filed under: Mytilus galloprovincialis (Mediterranean mussel)
Lineage: Eukaryota; Metazoa; Mollusca; Bivalvia; Mytilida; Mytilidae
Source: RNAcentral
UGUGGUCAUUUUUAUAAAUUUCCUGUUUACAAAACUUUGAAUUUUUCGAAAAACUAAGGAUUUUCUUGUCCCAGGAAUAGAUUACCUUAGCCGUAUUUGGCACAACUUUUCGGAAUUUUGGAUCCUCAAUGCUCUUCAACUUUGUACUAGUUUGGCUUUAUAACUAUUUUGAUAUGAGCGUCACUGAUGAGUCUUAUGUAGACGAAAC